RNAcentral lists this ribosomal RNA (446 nucleotides) under Melanoleuca grammopodia var. obscura. RNAcentral describes it as "eukaryotic LSU rRNA". The stretch from base 1 to 122 matches the Rfam family "5.8S ribosomal RNA", at positions 33 to 154 of the family's 154-position model. The record is from RNAcentral. Lineage: Eukaryota; Fungi; Basidiomycota; Agaricomycetes; Agaricales; Pluteaceae.
UCGAUGAAGAACGCAGCGAAAUGCGAUAAGUAAUGUGAAUUGCAGAAUUCAGUGAAUCAUCGAAUCUUUGAACGCACCUUGCGCUCCUUGGUAUUCCGAGGAGCAUGCCUGUUUGAGUGUCAUUAAAUUCUCAAUCCUUUCUGGGUUUAUUCUCAGCUAGGCUUGGAUAUGGGGGUUUUGCUGGCUUUGUACAGACAAAGUCAGCUCUCCUGAAAAACAUUAGCAAGACUGUUGUUGCAACCUUCUAUCUGGUGUGAUAAUUAUCUACAUCAUAGAUUGUAUGCAGUUUAUUAUGUCUGGCUUCUAACAGUCCAUUGAAUUGGACAAAACCUAUGACAAUUUGACCUCAAAUCAGGUAGGACUACCCGCUGAACUUAAGCAUAUCAAUAAGCGGAGGAAAAGAAACUAACAAGGAUUCCCCUAGUAACUGCGAGUGAAGCGGGAAA